RNAcentral lists this transfer RNA (93 nucleotides) under Neobacillus niacini. Its description in RNAcentral is "tRNA-Ser". It matches the Rfam family "tRNA". From Rfam's summary of the family: Transfer RNA (tRNA) molecules are approximately 80 nucleotides in length. Their secondary structure includes four short double-helical elements and three loops (D, anti-codon, and T loops). RNAcentral also lists the same sequence under 76 other names. Lineage: Bacteria; Bacillati; Bacillota; Bacilli; Caryophanales; Bacillaceae. The record is from RNAcentral.
GGAGGAAUACCCAAGUCUGGCUGAAGGGAUCGGUCUUGAAAACCGACAGGCGGGUCAUACCGCGCGGGGGUUCGAAUCCCUCUUCCUCCUCCA